UGUUGUAGAAUCACUGGUGAAUAAGGGGUGGGCAAGUUCUGGUGUCAGCCGCCGCGGUAAAACCAGCACCUCGAGUGGUCAGGAGGUUUAUUGGGCCUAAAGCAUCCGUAGCCGGUUGCAUAAGUUUUCGGUUAAAUCUAUGCGCUUAACGUAUAGGCCGCCGAAAAUACUGUGCAGCUAGGGAGUGGGAGAGGUACACGGUACUCGAUAGGAAGGGGUAAAAUCCUUUGAUCUAUUGAUGACCACCUGUGGCGAAGGCGGUGUACCAGAACACGUUCGACGGUGAGGGAUGAAAGCUGGGGGAGCAAACCGGAUUAGAUACCCGGGUAGUCCCAGCUGUAAACGAUGCAGACUCGGUGAUGCAUUGGCUUGUGGCCAAUGCAGUGCCGCAGGGAAGCCGUUAAGUCUGCCGCCUGGGAAGUACGUACGCAAGUAUGAAACUUAAAGGAAUUGGCGGGGGAGCACCACAAGGGGUGAAGCCUGCGGUUCAAUCGGAGUCAACGCCAGAAAUCUUACCUGGGGAGACAGCAGAAUGAAGGUCAAGCUGAAGACUUUACCAGACACGCUGAGAGGUGGUGCAUGGCCGUCGCCAGCUCGUGCCGUGAGAUGUCCUGUUAAGUCAGGUAACGAGCGAGACCCCUGCGUCUAGUUGCUACCAUUACUCUCUGGAGCAGUGGAGCGAAUUAGACGGACCGCCACAGUUAAUGUGGAGGAAGGAAGGGGCCACGGCAGGUCAGUAUGCCCCGAAACCCUAGGGCUACACGCGGGCUGCCAUGGUAAUGACCAUGUGUUCCGAAUCCGAAAGGAGGAGGCCAUCAUCAAACAAUAUCUCAGGUAUGACUGAGGGA
RNAcentral lists this ribosomal RNA (848 nucleotides) under uncultured archaeon. Its description in RNAcentral is "bacterial SSU rRNA". It matches the Rfam family "Archaeal small subunit ribosomal RNA", at positions 415 to 1261 of the family's 1478-position model. The record is from RNAcentral.